CAGAGACCUGAGCAGUCUUCUGAUUUUCGUUUCUCAGCCAGGAGUGCCUGUGGGAAGAAAAUAAAUGGUUAUAUUCUCUUCCCAGAGCCCCAGCCUGUCUGAGGAGCCUGGGACCGAGCACACAGGAAGUUGUUUGUCCGCAGUCCCUGGAACCCUGCGUGGGGUUUUGGCUUAGAGUGUGGCAGGAGGUGGAGGAUAGGGAGGCAGAGAGCAAUGCGGACGGAGUGAUACCCUCAUCAAAAGUGACGGGGCCUUCCAAGAGCCCUGCCGUCUCGCCUUGCCGUCUGGGAGCCACGACUGUUAUCUCCCUCACCGACUUCUACAGAAUUAGCCUCACUGAGCAGGAGGAUUCUGGAGGCGGGGAGAUGGAGAGCUGCAGUGAGAACCAGCAUGACAGAGACGGCACAGCGAGAGCACAGUGUGUCCAGAUGAGGAGAGCAUCUUAGAAAGGGGGCGGUCUGUCAAGAGGAUGAGCUGGCUUCACUCGUAACAGCACAAUUGCCGCAACAACUUCCAUUUCUU
Molecule: long non-coding RNA, 522 nt
Filed under: Equus asinus (donkey)
Lineage: Eukaryota; Metazoa; Chordata; Mammalia; Perissodactyla; Equidae
Description: lncRNA (ENSEASG00005033596.1)
Source: RNAcentral